This 507-nucleotide ribosomal RNA is filed under the name uncultured Glomeromycotina. RNAcentral's name for it is "SSU rRNA". It matches the Rfam family "Eukaryotic small subunit ribosomal RNA", at positions 569 to 1081 of the family's 1831-position model. The record is from RNAcentral. Lineage: Eukaryota; Fungi; Glomeromycota.
AGCAGCCGCGGUAAUUCCAGCUCCAAUAGCGUAUAUUAAAGUUGUUGCAGUUAAAAAGCUCGUAGUUGAAUUUCGGGAUCAGUACGCUGGUCGUGCCUCCGGUAUGUACUGGUGUCACUGAUUCCUCCCUUCUGAAGAACCAUCAUGCCAUUCACUUGGUGUGGUGGGGAAUCAGGACUGUUACUUUGAAAAAUUAGAGUGUUUAAAGCAGGCUCGCGCUUGAAUACAUUAGCAUGGAAUAAUGAAAUAGGACGUUUAUCCUAUUUUGUUGGUUUCUAGGAUUGACGUAAUGAUUAAUAGGGAUAGUUGGGGGCAUUAGUAUUCAAUUGUCAGAGGUGAAAUUCUUGGAUUUAUUGAAGACUAACUACUGCGAAAGCAUUUGCCAAGGAUGUUUUCAUUAAUCAAGAACGAAAGUUAGGGGAUCGAAGACGAUCAGAUACCGUCGUAGUCUUAACCAUAAACUAUGCCGACUAGGGAUCGGAUGAUGUUAAUUUUAAUGACUCAUUC